CCUAAGUGGUUCUGACGCGCAAAUCGAUCACGGAACUUGGGCGUAGGGGCGAAAGACUAAUCGAACCAUCUAGUAGCUGGUUCCCUCCGAAGUUUCCCCCAGGAUAGCUGGCGCUCGCCGAGACAGUUUCGUCCGGUAAAGCGAAUGAUWAGAGGARUCYGUGCCGAAAUGGCSUGGAGCUAUUGUCAAACUUUGAACGGGCGAAGAGGGGUGCCUACCGCUCGAUYUGGGAGGCUCGGC
RNAcentral lists this ribosomal RNA (240 nucleotides) under Notoacmea petterdi. Its description in RNAcentral is "partial 28S ribosomal RNA". It matches the Rfam family "Eukaryotic large subunit ribosomal RNA", at positions 875 to 1109 of the family's 3401-position model. Lineage: Eukaryota; Metazoa; Mollusca; Gastropoda; Acmaeidae. The record is from RNAcentral.